Gasterosteus aculeatus aculeatus (three-spined stickleback) is the source of this 1142-nucleotide long non-coding RNA. The record is from Ensembl. Lineage: Eukaryota; Metazoa; Chordata; Actinopteri; Perciformes; Gasterosteidae.
UGCAGGAUGGGAGGGUGGGAGGAUGUGUGUGUGCGUGUGUGUGUGUGUGUGCGUGUGUGUGUGUGUGUGUUACGGAGGGAGGGCGGGGGAGCGCCAGUAGCCAGAUGCUGAGAGACGAGACGAAGGACGUAAAACACAACAAGUGAGUGAACUGUUGCUCUGCAAAUUAAGUCGCACUGCAGCGGGAUUACUGGAGGCGAAACUCUGUAAAAGUAACGUGUGAUUUUAUUUUAAAGAGCGCUACGUGUCAUUGGAGCUGAUCAUUAAUACUUUUUUUGUAUUUCUAUGUAUUCACUCCGUGUCUGCUUAGAUUGCCUGAGAUCGCCGCUUUGAGCAUUUUGGACGUGCACCAUGCAGGAGUCCUGCUGAGAUGAUGCGAGUUUAAAUAUUAGUGUGACUUUGAGUUUGCAGCGCGCCGCAACUUCACCCGAUAAGACAUCGCAAGCGCUCCCUGUCGGAAGGUUUUCGUCGCGGUGUCCGGGAACAGUUUUCCGGCGGCGUUUCCAUCUGAGCCCGCAAUCACGGAAAAACACUGAGAGCCGCGUGGAAAAGAAAGAAAGAAAGAGAUUCGGGGUCUCCUGUGAUGCUGGGAUAAAAUGUUCUCUGCUUCAUCCAAGCUGCCUUUUAAACAAGUCUCCACAUUCAAUGCAAUUUUGUGGGCAAUUUACUCAACAUUUUCAUGACCUGUAACAAUUCUGUAGCCUCUUUUAAUGGAGAAGUAGACUGCUGAGAUAAAUCUAAUCCAGGGUCAACAGAACAGUAAAAAAGAGCAGUGAUUUAGCAAAUUCCUCGACCUUCUCUUCUCAUUCCUCGACAAGGUAAAGCACCCUUCCCUGCAUGUGGUGGGUGAGAUGAACUCCAGUGGGAAUACUGUAGACCCCACUUGACAGCUCAGCCUGAUCACCUGAAAGCUUCUCAACAGAGCCUCCACAAGACCUUGAUAAAAAAAGCAGUUGCCUAAAAUCCACAUCUCAAUGGGGAUGCUGAAUUUUUAGGUAGAAAGUCAAUAUUGAUGUUAUUUUUGUGUCAUAAAAUAAUGUAUAACCUUUAUAUAGGUUGACAGCCCUCUGACACUGCGAACCAGAAGAAACUGCAAAAUAACAGGAUACAAAACUAAUGUUUGAAUACCGGGAAAUGGAAAA